Molecule: small nucleolar RNA, 110 nt
Organism: Macadamia integrifolia
Lineage: Eukaryota; Viridiplantae; Streptophyta; Magnoliopsida; Proteales; Proteaceae
Source: RefSeq, a predicted model, not a curated record
AGGUCAUGGUGAGGGCAUUCUUGGAGUAGAAGAUCCUUGAAUCUCUCCAUAAGUUUAGAAAAUGACUCACUGGGCUUUUGCCUAAACUAAAGGAUAUCACUUCUAAGCUU